RNAcentral lists this ribosomal RNA (1388 nucleotides) under uncultured bacterium. RNAcentral describes it as "bacterial SSU rRNA". It matches the Rfam family "Bacterial small subunit ribosomal RNA", at positions 28 to 1381 of the family's 1533-position model. The record is from RNAcentral.
GACGAACGCUGGCGGCGUGCUUAACACAUGCAAGUCGAACGAAGAACGAUGGAAGCUUGCUUCUAUCAAUCUUAGUGGCGAACGAGGUGAGUAACGCGUAAUCAACCUGCCCUUCACAGGGGGACAACAGGUGGAAACGACUGCUAAUACCGCAUACUAUCUGACCUCGGCAUCGAGGAUAGAUGAAAGGUGGCCUCUAUUUAUAAGCUAUCACUGAAGGAGGGGAUUGCGUCUGAUUACCUAGUUGGAGGGGUAACGGCCCACCAAGGCAAUAAUCAUUACCCAGUCUGAAAGGAUGAACGGCCACAUUGGGACUGAAACACGGCCCAAACUCCUACGGGAGGCAGCAGUGGGGAAUCUUCCGCAAUGGACAAAAGUCUGACGGACCAACGCCGCGUGACUGAUGACGGCCUUCGGGUUGAAAAGCUCUGUUAAUCGGAACAAAGGGCCUUCUUGCGAAUAGUUAGAACGAUUGACGGUACCGGAAUAGAAAGCCACGGCCAACUACGUGCCAGCAGCCGCGGUAAUACGUAUGUGGCAAGCGUUGUCCGGAAUUAUUGGGCAUAAAGCGCGCGCAGGCGGAUUGGUCACUCUGUCUUAAAAGUUCGGGGCUUAACCCCAUGAUGGGAUGGAAACUGCCAAUCUAGAGUAUCGGAGAGGAAAGUGAAAUUCCUAGUGUAGCGGAGAAAUGCGUAGAUAUUAGAAAGAACACCAGUGGCAAAGGCAACUUUCUGGACAAAAACUGACUCUAACGCGCGAAAGCCAGGGGACCGAACGGAAUUAAAUACCCCGGGUACCCCUGGGCCAUAAACUAUGGGCACAUAGUGUAAGAGGUAUCGAACCCCUUCUGUGCCGGAGUUAACGCAAUAAGUACUCCGCCGGGGGAGUACGACCGCAAGGUUGAAACUCAAAGGAAUUGACGGGGGCCCGCACAAGCGGUGGAGCAUGUGGUUUAAUUCGACGCAACGCGAAGAACCUUACCAGGUCUUGACAUCGACGGACAGAACUCGAGAUAGUUCCUUUUCUUUGGAAGCCAGAAAACACGUGGUGCGCGGUGGUCUUCACCUCGCGUCGUGAGAGGUUGGGGUAAGUCUCGCAACGAGAGCGCCCCCUAUCUCAUGUUGCCAGCACUUUCGGUGGGACCUCAUGGGAGGCUGCCGCACACCAAGCGGAGGAAGGCGGGGAAGACGUCAAAUCAUCAAGCCCCUUAUGACGUGGGGUACCCCCGUAGUACAAAGGGAGUUAAUAGACGGCAGCAAUGCCGCGAGGUGGAGCCAACCCGAGAAACACUCUCUCAGUUCGGAUCGCAGGCUGCAACUCGCCUACGUGAAGUCGGAAUCGCUAGUAAUCGCAGGUCAGCAUACUGCGGUGAAUACGUUCCCGGGCCU